Molecule: RNA transcript, 3931 nt
Organism: Dermochelys coriacea (leatherback sea turtle)
Lineage: Eukaryota; Metazoa; Chordata; Testudines; Dermochelyidae
Gene: SMARCAL1
Gene name: SWI/SNF related, matrix associated, actin dependent regulator of chromatin, subfamily a like 1
Exons: 15
Source: RefSeq, a predicted model, not a curated record
GAUGCGCGCUCCUGGGGGGCGGGCUCCGCGUCUCGCCCUGCGUUGGGACCGGGCUGGAGCGGCCCGCAGGCCUGCGUGCGCGCAGAGGAAGGGGCUGAAUUGCUACCUGUAGACAUGGGAAUGCCAUUGGUGCUGGAAGUGUAAAUUUCCCAAGGCAGGAGGUUCGCCUCCAGUCCUGUAAAAGGAACAGUUGGAUUCCUCACUAGUAUUCAACACGCAGGAUUCAGGACUAUCAUUUUAAUUGUGGAAGAUGUCAUCUGGCCUUACCGAAGAACAGAAAAGAAAAAUUGAGGAGAACAGACAGAAGGCCUUGGCUAGAAGAGCAGAGAGACUAGCAGCCCAGCAAGGAGGGCCUGGUGGGCUCACUAGCCAACAAUCCAACCAGCAGAAUCCAGGCUAUCGAAGAAACCUGGAGCAUCAGUGUAUGAAACAAGGAAACAAUCAUGUUGGGUGUCUGCUGGUGUUGGCUAAUGAACCUAACAGCCAUGUGGUGCAGAAGAGCUAUGUUCAUAAAGGAUAUAAUCACUUUAACACAUCCCAACAGAUGGCUGGUUCAUGUGGCGUGCAACAGGAGAAUAGUUCGGAGGGCUCACACCAAGAUUCAUGGAGUCAAAUGUGCAGCACUAAACAGUCCCUCCCGAUACUCCAGAAUUCUUUGAGUUCCCAUCAACAUUAUAAAGGUUCUGAGCAACCCAAGUACCAUCCAACAUUAAAAAAACCUGCAGAACCUUCUCAUCCUAGAUUAACUGCUAAGGAGCACCCUGAUGAUGAUAAACGUUUACAAAGUCUGAACAGAUCUGCCAGUGAACAUGUUGACAUGAAAUGCAUGCCAUCACCGAGCAGUGCUAUCUUGAGUGAUUUUGAAAUGUCAACAAAUGCAGGGAAACCAACCUGUGGGCCCUUCCCCAAAAAGGAUACCAUCUCACAGUUCUGUGGCACUAUGCGACCACCCGCUCCGUUGAAGGAGGGUAAGAUGCAAAAGGUGGCCAGUUCUAGUGGUGUAGGCUGUAACUUGGAAAUAUUUUGUCAUAGAAAAGUACCCAGUGUUAUCAAAGGAAGGUGCGUGAAGCACGGUGAAGACCGAUUCCAGGUUGAAGUAGGCUACAAUGCAGAACUCAUCGCUGUGUUUAAGAGCAUACCUAGCAAAAGAUAUGAUCCUGCUAUGAAGAUUUGGAAUUUUAGUUUAGAAGACUACAGAAAUCUCAUGGAAGCAGUGAAGCCACUUUCCUCAGUGACUUUGGUACCAUUUGAAGAGAUGGAUGCAGCUGGCCCCUCCACAUGUUCACAGUCUGUCAGCAGCGGGCCCAGCUUGAAAUCCUUCUUAAAGACAUGCAGCGGCUGGAAGAAACCCUCUGCCACCGUCAGGGGGAAGUGUGUUCUGAUCUCGCGCUCCCGGUUUGAGGUUGAGAUUGGGUAUGCUGCAGAAAUUAUUGAAGUGUUUAAACAGAUGAAUUCCAGGAAUUAUGACAUGAAGACCAGAAAAUGGAGUUUCCUACUGGAGGACUAUGCAAGGCUAAGUGAGAAGCUGCAUUUUCCUUGUGGGGUCUGUUCUCUUGGGACAGUGACCAUUCAGGGCCCCAUUGUACGAGUGGAAGCUGUACAACACCUUCCAUCGGUAGAGGUAGAACCGCUGCCCAAGCCAGUAAUACAAGCCUUUGCUCCUCAGUUUGACGAGCCCGCCUUGCAUGUCUCAGACGUUCCCGAAGCUGACCUUUCAGCGGUGGAUUCCAAAAUUGUGAUGAGCCUCAUGCCCUUUCAGAGAGAAGGCGUGAAUUUUGCCAUCUCCAGAGAAGGCCGUUUGCUUCUUGCAGAUGACAUGGGUUUGGGGAAGACUAUCCAGGCUAUCUGUAUUGCUGCAUAUUACCGAAAGGAGUGGCCGUUGCUGGUGGUAACACCAUCCUCAGUGAGAUUUACCUGGGCAGAGGCAUUUCAUAGGUGGCUUCCCUCCCUGAGCCCAGAGAGCACCAAUGUCAUACUGACAGGCAAAGACAACCUGUCAGCAAAACUGAUAAACAUAAUCAGUUUCGACCUCCUCAGCAAGAUGGAUAAGCAGCUCAAAGACACUUUCCAAGUUGUCAUUAUUGAUGAAUCUCAUUUCCUAAAAAACACAAAAACUGCACGAUGCCGAGCUGCAAUGCCUCUUCUUAAGGCUGCCAAAAGAGUGAUUUUGCUGUCGGGAACCCCUGCCAUGUCACGCCCUGCAGAGCUUUAUACGCAGAUUGCGGCUGUCAGACCAACCUUCUUCCCUCAGUUCCAUUCCUUCGGACUCCGCUACUGUGAUGCCAAGAAGAUGCCAUGGGGCUGGGACUACUCCAGAUCUUCCAACCUAGGAGAACUGAAGCUUUUGCUUGAAGAAUCUGUCAUGAUCCGCCGCCUGAAAUCAGACGUGCUCUCCCAGCUUCCAGCAAAGCAACGCAAAAUGGUAGUGGUGUUUCCUGAAGGCGUGAAUGCAAAGACCAAGGCUGAGCUGGCCGCCGCUGCGAAGGAGAUGGUCAAAGGAUACAGAAGUAAACAACAGGAGAAGGAAGCUCUACUCCUCUUCUAUAACAGAACCGCAGAAGCCAAAAUCCGUUCAGUCAUAGAAUACAUCCUGGAUUUAUUGGAAAGCGGGAGAAACAAAUUCCUGGUGUUCGCUCAUCACAGGAUAGUACUGAAUGCAGUCAGCAAAGAGCUGGAGAACAAAGUAAGUUCUUAAAUCAGCUUCCUGUUAAUUUUAUUAUUGAUCCAACUUCAAAGCUGCUGGAGAGUUCUGGCAGGUCACCUACUUUAUGAAAGUUAGUGACACACACAAUUCUCUUAAUAAGAUAUCUCUAAUGUGCCCCCUUGCCAUGAUUACUGAGUCUCCAGAAUGAGACUGCCCGGUGGGAUGUACAUUUUGUGUAUGUGAGAGCUAUUGCUGCAGAUGUUUCUUGGUGUUCACCACCACCUGGAGUGAUGUGUUUACAGUGUUUUGAGAAGUGCUGUUUUACUACCAUACAUUGCCAUUGCUGCUUUUCGUGCCUCUUUGGAGAAGGUGGUGAGAAGGCAGUGACAAACCAACCCCAGCUAUAUCUGCAUGCCUUUUGUUCCUUGGGUCUCUGUUGCUCUGAUUUUUGGGCCUGGCUAUUGUAUGGCGGCUCAAGUCUACUUAAUAACUGCAUAGUGAUCUUUCUCCUGUUUCUAGUGAUGAGUAGAGAUCAAAUUUCUAUGCCUGUUUCAUCUGAUCGAUCAGAUUUUGAAAGCUCAUGAGGUGGCUGUGAGACCUGGUCGUGGUAGAUGGGAGGUGGUUUUGCUAAUUUCUCACUGAGAAAUCUCUGAGGGUAGUACUGGGCAAUUGCUCAUCAUCCCUGACAUUUAUAAGGUACCCAUCGUAUCACUGCUCCUCUUCGGUGACGAGACCAUUGGAAAAUUGUUAGCUUUGGAGCUGCAGCAUCAAUAUGUGGGCAAUACUCGGCGUUGCACUGAACCUUUUCAUCUAUGUCUCCUUUUCGCUGACCUGGACUCUGCAGGCAGCCCAGUACCUAAGCAUGAUAGUGACCCAGAUGAAGAGUAGCUGAGGGGAUGGCGGCUGGUGAUGCUGGUUCCUUAUUGUGCGUUUAUGCCCAAAUCGAAUGGCAGCAUUAGAAAAUGCUGAAAUAAAAUUUUUUAUAUUUUCCCCCUUGCCAAUGCAUUUAAAAUGUAACAAAAUGUUAUGGAGUAGUUCAGUGGGUUUUUUGAUCUUCACAAACACUGGUGGUGGCAGGGGAAAUCCUCUAAAAUUUGGGAAAAUAAAGACCUGCCAAUGAUCUUUCUCCACUCCCUCCUUUCAGCAUAUUGGAUAUAUUCGCAUUGAUGGUGCCACAGCUUCAGCUGAGCGUCAGUCUCUGUGCCAGAAGUUCCAGUUCUCCGAGAAGUACUCUGUGGCUGUCUUAUCCCUUACUGCUGCCAACACGGGGCUGACCCUCUCUUCUGC